Molecule: non-coding RNA, 73 nt
Organism: Odocoileus virginianus texanus
Lineage: Eukaryota; Metazoa; Chordata; Mammalia; Artiodactyla; Cervidae
Source: the annotation of a RefSeq genome assembly
UCCCUGAUGGUCCAGUGGUUAAGAUAUUGCACUCACAAUGCAGGGGGCCCAGGUUUGAUCCCUUGUCAGGGAA